UGGGGAAUCUUGCGCAAUGGGGGGAACCCUGACGCAGCGACGCCGCGUGGACGAAGAAGGCCUUCGGGUUGUAAAGUCCUGUAGAUGGGGAAGAAGAAGAUGACGGUACCCAUCGAAAAGCCCCGGCUAACUACGUGCCAGCAGCCGCGGUAAUACGUAGGGGGCAAGCGUUGUCCGGAGUGACUGGGCGUAAAGGGCGUGUAGGCGGGCCGGCAAGUGUAAUGUCAAAGCCCCGGGUAACCCCGGGAAGAGGCAUUACAAACUACCGGUCUUGAGGAAAGGAGAGGGAAGCGGAAUUCCCGGUGUAGCGGUGAAAUGCGUAGAUAUCGGGAGGAAUACCGGUGGCGAAGGCGGCUUCCUGGACUUAUCCUGACGCUGAGGCGCGAAAGCGUGGGGAGCAAACAGG
This 406-nucleotide ribosomal RNA is filed under the name uncultured Thermoanaerobacterium sp. Its description in RNAcentral is "bacterial SSU rRNA". It matches the Rfam family "Bacterial small subunit ribosomal RNA", at positions 355 to 776 of the family's 1533-position model. Lineage: Bacteria; Bacillati; Bacillota; Clostridia; Thermoanaerobacterales; Thermoanaerobacteraceae. The record is from RNAcentral.